AGGAUAAAGCAAGAAAAGCUACAAGUAUUCAGCCAAAACUCGCCACGGAAGCUGAACAGAUGAUAAAUCAAAUGAAAGAAUUACAGUCUCAGAUAAAUAUGUUGCAGAUGGAGAUCAGUAUGAAAGAAAGCAGAAUUAAUGCUAUGCAAGGAGAGACUGAAUCCCUGCACAGACACCUGCAAAAUCUCUCAGAUUCAAAUAUGCAAGAGAAACGAUUACUACUGGAGGAUAUCACUCAGUUGAAGAAACUAUCAGAAA
Molecule: long non-coding RNA, 258 nt
Organism: Bombina bombina (fire-bellied toad)
Lineage: Eukaryota; Metazoa; Chordata; Amphibia; Anura; Bombinatoridae
Exons: 3
Source: RefSeq, a predicted model, not a curated record